This 251-nucleotide ribosomal RNA is filed under the name uncultured prokaryote. RNAcentral's name for it is "partial 16S ribosomal RNA". It matches the Rfam family "Bacterial small subunit ribosomal RNA", at positions 525 to 775 of the family's 1533-position model. The record is from RNAcentral.
ACAGCUUUUUCAAGCGUUGUUCGGAAUUACUGGGCGUAAAGGGCGUGUAGGCGGCACGGUAAGUCAACCGUGAAAGCUCCCGGCUAAACUGGGAGAGGUCGGAUGAAACUGCCGAGCUAGAGGGUCGUAGAGGGGUGUGGAAUUCCGGGUGUAGUGGUGAAAUGCGUAGAGAUCCGGAGGAACACCAGAGGCGAAGGCGGCACCCUGGACGACACCAGAUGCUGAGACGCGACAGCACGGGGAGCGAACGG